UUGACAUCCCUGAGGACCGAUGUACUUUGUCUACAGAAUAUGUACAGCAUGUGAAGCAGCAGUGCAGGCUUCCCUCCUCCAUCCUAACCGACUGGACCUGAGAGCCACCUCAGUGGUGAAAGAGGAACUGAAUCUUCAUGACCCAUUCAUUCCUUGGCUUCU
Molecule: small RNA, 162 nt
Filed under: Gopherus agassizii (Agassiz's desert tortoise)
Lineage: Eukaryota; Metazoa; Chordata; Testudines; Testudinidae
Description: TUC338 (ENSGAGG00000007316.1)
Source: RNAcentral